This 259-nucleotide long non-coding RNA is filed under the name Gallus gallus (chicken). Lineage: Eukaryota; Metazoa; Chordata; Aves; Galliformes; Phasianidae. The record is from RNAcentral.
GGCCGAUCUGCUGCCCCCCCACAUAUGUGGCCCCGAAGUGAUAGGCGGAGUCCCCGACGGUGCUCAGCGCCACUGUGUGGUUCACCUGGAAGUGGUUGCUGAGCCCUUUGUUCACCGUCAGCUUCACGCCCUCCAUCUGCACCGGGAACAGCUCUUUGCAGCGCCGAUGGCACUCCUCGAAGGUCCCCGGAUUGGGCAACGCCGCCGUCGCCCCCCCCUCCCCAUUGGGGGGUCCUCCUGUGGGGCUCAGCCCCCCAAG